This 230-nucleotide ribosomal RNA is filed under the name uncultured microorganism. RNAcentral's name for it is "partial 16S ribosomal RNA". It matches the Rfam family "Bacterial small subunit ribosomal RNA", at positions 524 to 753 of the family's 1533-position model. The record is from RNAcentral.
UACGUAGGUGGCAAGCGUUGUCCGGAAUUAUUGGGCGUAAAGCGCGCGCAGGCGGCUUCUUAAGUCUGAUGUGAAAUCUCGGGGCUCAACCCCGAGCGGCCAUUGGAAACUGGGAAGCUUGAGUGCAGAAGAGGAGAGUGGAAUUCCACGUGUAGCGGUGAAAUGCGUAGAUAUGUGGAGGAACACCAGUGGCGAAGGCGACUCUCUGGUCUGUAACUGACGCUGAGGCG